UACGGAGGGUGCAAGCGUUGCUCGGAAUCACUGGGCGUAAAGCGUCCGCAGGCGGCCUAGAAGGUCGGAUGUGAAAGCCCGGGGCUCAACCCCGGAACUGCAUUCGAAACCGCUAGGCUUGAGUAUAGGAGAGGAGAGCGGAAUUCCUGGUGUAGAGGUGAAAUUCGUAGAUAUCAGGAGGAAUACCCGUGGCGAAAGCGGCUCUCUGGCCUAAUACUGACGCUCAUGGACGAAAGCGUGGGGAGCAAACAGG
This 253-nucleotide ribosomal RNA is filed under the name uncultured bacterium. RNAcentral describes it as "partial 16S ribosomal RNA". It matches the Rfam family "Bacterial small subunit ribosomal RNA", at positions 524 to 776 of the family's 1533-position model. The record is from RNAcentral.